Molecule: ribosomal RNA, 301 nt
Filed under: uncultured bacterium
Lineage: Bacteria
Description: partial 16S ribosomal RNA
Rfam family: Bacterial small subunit ribosomal RNA
Source: RNAcentral
CAGUCGCCGCGGUAAUACGUAGGGUGCAAGCGUUAAUCGGAAUUACUGGGCGUAAAGCGUGCGCAGGCGGUUUGUUAAGACAGAUGUGAAAUCCCCGGGCUCAACCUGGGAACUGCAUUUGUGACUGGCAGGCUAGAGUAUGGCAGAGGGGGGUGGAAUUCCGCGUGUAGUAGUGAAAUGCGUAGAUAUGCGGAGGAACACCGAUGGCGAAGGCAGCCCCCUGGGCCAAUACUGACGCUCAUGCACGAAAGCGUGGGGAGCAAACAGGAUUAGAUACCCCUGUAGUCCCUGUCUCUUAUAC